GCGGACGUAGCUCAACGGUAGAGCUUGAAGGCUUCCCACCCUCAGGUUGCGGGUUCGAAUCCCGUCGUCCGCU
Molecule: transfer RNA, 73 nt
Filed under: Antarcticirhabdus aurantiaca
Lineage: Bacteria; Pseudomonadati; Pseudomonadota; Alphaproteobacteria; Hyphomicrobiales; Aurantimonadaceae
Description: tRNA-Gly
Rfam family: tRNA
About the family: Transfer RNA (tRNA) molecules are approximately 80 nucleotides in length. Their secondary structure includes four short double-helical elements and three loops (D, anti-codon, and T loops).
Source: RNAcentral